UGAUGUUAAAUCAUAAAAAGUUAACUUUCAACUUGGAUUGGCAAAUCAUAGCAAAAUCGUUCGUGUUACCCACUUUGAAGAAUCCCACUAAAGCGUUAUAUAUACAUGCACUUUCUGGAAGUAAAGAGGUUUUUAAGGAAAAACUCAUAAGAUGUGAAAAAUGUUAUUUGACCGUUCACAAAGUGUGCUAUGGCAUAACUGUAGAUACAAGUAGUCAAUGGUUGUGUGAUCGAUGCACGAAAAAUCCUAAGUUUGCUGCUUGUGUAUACUGUCCAUUGAAAGGUGGUGCUAUAAAAAAAUUUAAAAUCAAUGGAUGGUCACAUGUUGAAUGACAUCUUUUUGUGCACGGCAGUAGUCCAUUAACUACCAAUACUUUUUCAACAGACUUUAU
Acyrthosiphon pisum (pea aphid) is the source of this 391-nucleotide long non-coding RNA. RefSeq lists it as uncharacterized. The record is from RefSeq and is a predicted model, not a curated record. NCBI's taxonomy places the organism in Eukaryota, Metazoa, Arthropoda, Insecta, Hemiptera, Aphididae. The transcript has 3 exons.